This 28-nucleotide small RNA is filed under the name Bombyx mori (domestic silkworm). RNAcentral describes it as "ovarian small RNA-22238". Lineage: Eukaryota; Metazoa; Arthropoda; Insecta; Lepidoptera; Bombycidae. The record is from RNAcentral.
UAGCACACUACGUCGACGCCACGCAGGC